AAACUCAUGUAACCCUUGAAGCUGGUUUUUGGGGCCAUUGUUCAACACUGCAAGGAAUUCCAGUACGGACUGUAUGUUUGAGUACAUCAGGGUCCAUGCUAGAAGUUAGAGAUGCUUUCCUUAGCUUUUCUGGGGGAUAAGCAUCUAUGCCUCCACUACGUGCUCUCUGGCUGUGAUAGCCUCGGCAAGUUGGAGAUUAGAGACUGCCCCUUUGGCGAUGACGGUGCAAAGCUGGAGG
Molecule: unclassified non-coding RNA, 238 nt
Filed under: Hevea brasiliensis (rubber tree)
Lineage: Eukaryota; Viridiplantae; Streptophyta; Magnoliopsida; Malpighiales; Euphorbiaceae
Source: RNAcentral